UGGACCAUACUGGACUUGAACCAGUGACCUCUCGCUUAUCAAGCGAGCGCUCUAACCAACUGAGCUAAUGGUCC
Molecule: transfer RNA, 74 nt
Filed under: Asterarcys sp. GP-2019
Lineage: Eukaryota; Viridiplantae; Chlorophyta; Chlorophyceae; Sphaeropleales; Scenedesmaceae
Description: tRNA-Ile
Source: RNAcentral